Molecule: non-coding RNA, 159 nt
Organism: Endozoicomonas numazuensis
Lineage: Bacteria; Pseudomonadati; Pseudomonadota; Gammaproteobacteria; Oceanospirillales; Endozoicomonadaceae
Source: Rfam
UCCAUCGUGAGGUGGAAUCUGAAGAAAGCUGAAGGCAAAACACUGGCCCGACGAACAUUUAUGAGUCUGGACAAGCUGAUGACGACACUAAAAAAAAGCGCAACAGGAAAACCGGCUUGAAAGGCAGAUGCAGCAACUGAUGUAUCCAAAGCUACUGGU